This 76-nucleotide transfer RNA is filed under the name Sphingomonas sp. Its description in RNAcentral is "tRNA-Phe". It matches the Rfam family "tRNA". From Rfam's summary of the family: Transfer RNA (tRNA) molecules are approximately 80 nucleotides in length. Lineage: Bacteria; Pseudomonadati; Pseudomonadota; Alphaproteobacteria; Sphingomonadales; Sphingomonadaceae. RNAcentral also lists the same sequence under 10 other names. The record is from RNAcentral.
GCCCGAGUAGCUCAGUUGGUAGAGCACACGAUUGAAAAUCGUGGUGUCGGUGGUUCGAACCCGCCCUCGGGCACCA